This 497-nucleotide ribosomal RNA is filed under the name uncultured bacterium. RNAcentral describes it as "partial 16S ribosomal RNA". It matches the Rfam family "Bacterial small subunit ribosomal RNA", at positions 28 to 507 of the family's 1533-position model. The record is from RNAcentral.
GAUGAACGCUGGCGGCGUGCCUAAUACAUGCAAGUCGAGCGAACGGACGAGAAGCUUGCUUUUCUGAUGUUAGCGGCGGACGGGUGAGUAACACGUGGAUAACCUACCUAUAAGACUGGGAUAACUUCGGGAAACCGGAGCUAAUACCGGAUAAUAUUUUGAACCGCAUGGUUCAAAAGUGAAAGACGGUCUUGCUGUCACUUAUAGAUGGAUCCGCGCUGCAUUAGCUAGUUGGUAAGGUAACGGCUUACCAAGGCAACGAUGCAUAGCCGACCUGAGAGGGUGAUCGGCCACACUGGAACUGAGACACGGUCCAGACUCCUACGGGAGGCAGCAGUAGGGAAUCUUCCGCAAUGGGCGAAAGCCUGACGGAGCAACGCCGCGUGAGUGAUGAAGGUCUUCGGAUCGUAAAACUCUGCUAUUAGGGAAGAACAUAUGUGUAAGUAACUGUGCACAUCUUGACGGUACCUAAUCAGAAAGCCACGGCUAACUACGUG